This 2891-nucleotide ribosomal RNA is filed under the name Escherichia coli TOP379. RNAcentral describes it as "bacterial LSU rRNA". It matches the Rfam family "Bacterial large subunit ribosomal RNA". The record is from RNAcentral. Lineage: Bacteria; Pseudomonadati; Pseudomonadota; Gammaproteobacteria; Enterobacterales; Enterobacteriaceae.
UUAAGCGACUAAGCGUACACGGUGGAUGCCCUGGCAGUCAGAGGCGAUGAAGGACGUGCUAAUCUGCGAUAAGCGUCGGUGAGGUGAUAUGAACCGUUAUAACCGGCGAUUUCCGAAUGGGGAAACCCAGUGUGUUUCGACACACUAUCAUUAACUGAAUCCAUAGGUUAAUGAGGCGAACCGGGGGAACUGAAACAUCUAAGUACCCCGAGGAAAAGAAAUCAACCGAGAUUCCCCCAGUAGCGGCGAGCGAACGGGGAGGAGCCCAGAGCCUGAAUCAGUGUGUGUGUUAGUGGAAGCGUCUGGAAAGGCGUGCGAUACAGGGUGACAGCCCCGUACACAAAAAUGCACAUAUUGUGAGCUCGAUGAGUAGGGCGGGACACGUGGUAUCCUGUCUGAAUAUGGGGGGACCAUCCUCCAAGGCUAAAUACUCCUGACUGACCGAUAGUGAACCAGUACCGUGAGGGAAAGGCGAAAAGAACCCCGGCGAGGGGAGUGAAAAAGAACCUGAAACCGUGUACGUACAAGCAGUGGGAGCCUCUUAAUGGGGUGACUGCGUACCUUUUGUAUAAUGGGUCAGCGACUUAUAUUCUGUAGCAAGGUUAACCGAAUAGGGGAGCCGAAGGGAAACCGAGUCUUAACUGGGCGUUAAGUUGCAGGGUAUAGACCCGAAACCCGGUGAUCUAGCCAUGGGCAGGUUGAAGGUUGGGUAACACUAACUGGAGGACCGAACCGACUAAUGUUGAAAAAUUAGCGGAUGACUUGUGGCUGGGGGUGAAAGGCCAAUCAAACCGGGAGAUAGCUGGUUCUCCCCGAAAGCUAUUUAGGUAGCGCCUCGUGAAUUCAUCUCCGGGGGUAGAGCACUGUUUCGGCAAGGGGGUCAUCCCGACUUACCAACCCGAUGCAAACUGCGAAUACCGGAGAAUGUUAUCACGGGAGACACACGGCGGGUGCUAACGUCCGUCGUGAAGAGGGAAACAACCCAGACCGCCAGCUAAGGUCCCAAAGUCAUGGUUAAGUGGGAAACGAUGUGGGAAGGCCCAGACAGCCAGGAUGUUGGCUUAGAAGCAGCCAUCAUUUAAAGAAAGCGUAAUAGCUCACUGGUCGAGUCGGCCUGCGCGGAAGAUGUAACGGGGCUAAACCAUGCACCGAAGCUGCGGCAGCGACACUAUGUGUUGUUGGGUAGGGGAGCGUUCUGUAAGCCUGUGAAGGUGGCCUGUGAGGGUUGCUGGAGGUAUCAGAAGUGCGAAUGCUGACAUAAGUAACGAUAAAGCGGGUGAAAAGCCCGCUCGCCGGAAGACCAAGGGUUCCUGUCCAACGUUAAUCGGGGCAGGGUGAGUCGACCCCUAAGGCGAGGCCGAAAGGCGUAGUCGAUGGGAAACAGGUUAAUAUUCCUGUACUUGGUGUUACUGCGAAGGGGGGACGGAGAAGGCUAUGUUGGCCGGGCGACGGUUGUCCCGGUUUAAGCGUGUAGGCUGGUUUUCCAGGCAAAUCCGGAAAACCAAGGCUGAGGCGUGAUGACGAGGCACUACGGUGCUGAAGCGACAAAUGCCCUGCUUCCAGGAAAAGCCUCUAAGCAUCAGGUAACAUCAAAUCGUACCCCAAACCGACACAGGUGGUCAGGUAGAGAAUACCAAGGCGCUUGAGAGAACUCGGGUGAAGGAACUAGGCAAAAUGGUGCCGUAACUUCGGGAGAAGGCACGCUGAUAUGUAGGUGAAGCGACUUGCUCGUGGAGCUGAAAUCAGUCGAAGAUACCAGCUGGCUGCAACUGUUUAUUAAAAACACAGCACUGUGCAAACACGAAAGUGGACGUAUACGGUGUGACGCCUGCCCGGUGCCGGAAGGUUAAUUGAUGGGGUUAGCGGCAACGCGAAGCUCUUGAUCGAAGCCCCGGUAAACGGCGGCCGUAACUAUAACGGUCCUAAGGUAGCGAAAUUCCUUGUCGGGUAAGUUCCGACCUGCACGAAUGGCGUAAUGAUGGCCAGGCUGUCUCCACCCGAGACUCAGUGAAAUUGAACUCGCUGUGAAGAUGCAGUGUACCCGCGGCAAGACGGAAAGACCCCGUGAACCUUUACUAUAGCUUGACACUGAACAUUGAGCCUUGAUGUGUAGGAUAGGUGGGAGGCUUUGAAGUGUGGACGCCAGUCUGCAUGGAGCCGACCUUGAAAUACCACCCUUUAAUGUUUGAUGUUCUAACGUUGGCCCGUAAUCCGGGUUGCGGACAGUGUCUGGUGGGUAGUUUGACUGGGGCGGUCUCCUCCUAAAGAGUAACGGAGGAGCACGAAGGUUGGCUAAUCCUGGUCGGACAUCAGGAGGUUAGUGCAAUGGCAUAAGCCAGCUUGACUGCGAGCGUGACGGCGCGAGCAGGUGCGAAAGCAGGUCAUAGUGAUCCGGUGGUUCUGAAUGGAAGGGCCAUCGCUCAACGGAUAAAAGGUACUCCGGGGAUAACAGGCUGAUACCGCCCAAGAGUUCAUAUCGACGGCGGUGUUUGGCACCUCGAUGUCGGCUCAUCACAUCCUGGGGCUGAAGUAGGUCCCAAGGGUAUGGCUGUUCGCCAUUUAAAGUGGUACGCGAGCUGGGUUUAGAACGUCGUGAGACAGUUCGGUCCCUAUCUGCCGUGGGCGCUGGAGAACUGAGGGGGGCUGCUCCUAGUACGAGAGGACCGGAGUGGACGCAUCACUGGUGUUCGGGUUGUCAUGCCAAUGGCACUGCCCGGUAGCUAAAUGCGGAAGAGAUAAGUGCUGAAAGCAUCUAAGCACGAAACUUGCCCCGAGAUGAGUUCUCCCUGAUCCUGAAGGAACGUUGAAGACGACGACGUUGAUAGGCCGGGUGUGUAAGCGCAGCGAUGCGUUGAGCUAACCGGUACUAAUGAACCGUGAGGCUUAACCUU